Molecule: ribosomal RNA, 330 nt
Filed under: uncultured bacterium
Lineage: Bacteria
Description: bacterial SSU rRNA
Rfam family: Bacterial small subunit ribosomal RNA
Source: RNAcentral
UUCGUAGGCGGUGUGGCAAGUCGGGAGUGAAAUCUCUAGGCUCAACCUAGAGGCUGCUUCCGAAACUGCUGUGCUUGAGUGUGAGAGAGGCUCGUGGAAUUGCAGGUGUAGCGGUGAAAUGCGUAGAUAUCUGCAGGAACACCCGUGGCGAAAGCGGCGAGCUGGAUCACUACUGACGCUGAGGAACGAAAGCUAGGGGAGCAAACAGGAUUAGAUACCCUGGUAGUCCUAGCCCUAAACGAUCAGGACUUGGGGUGGCUUCCGUUCGGAAGUCGUCCCGGAGCUAACGCGUUAAGUCCUGCACCUGGGGAGUACGGUCGCAAGACUGAA